GUGGGCGUAGCUCAAUAGGUGGAGCGUCGGGUUGUGGUCCCGAAGGUCGCCGGUUAGAUCCCGGUCGCUCACCCCA
RNAcentral lists this transfer RNA (76 nucleotides) under Desulfobulbaceae bacterium. Its description in RNAcentral is "tRNA-His". It matches the Rfam family "tRNA". Rfam says of the family: Transfer RNA (tRNA) molecules are approximately 80 nucleotides in length. Their secondary structure includes four short double-helical elements and three loops (D, anti-codon, and T loops). Further hydrogen bonds mediate the characteristic L-shaped molecular structure. tRNAs have two regions of fundamental functional importance: the anti-codon, which is responsible for specific mRNA codon recognition, and the 3' end, to which the tRNAs corresponding amino acid is attached (by aminoacyl-tRNA synthetases). tRNAs cope with the degeneracy of the genetic code in two manners: having more than one tRNA (with a specific anti-codon) for a particular amino acid; and 'wobble' base-pairing, i.e. permitting non-standard base-pairing at the 3rd anti-codon position. The record is from RNAcentral. Lineage: Bacteria; Pseudomonadati; Thermodesulfobacteriota; Desulfobulbia; Desulfobulbales; Desulfobulbaceae.